Molecule: ribosomal RNA, 546 nt
Filed under: uncultured Escherichia sp.
Lineage: Bacteria; Pseudomonadati; Pseudomonadota; Gammaproteobacteria; Enterobacterales; Enterobacteriaceae
Description: bacterial SSU rRNA
Rfam family: Bacterial small subunit ribosomal RNA
Source: RNAcentral
CUUGACAUCCACAGACUUUCCAGAGAUGGAUUGGUGCUUCGGGAACUGUGAGACAGGUGCUGCAUGGCUGUCGUCAGCUUCNGUGUUNNGUGAAAUGUUGGGUAAUCCCGCAACGAGCGCAACCCUUAUUCCCUUUGUUGCCAGCGGUCCGGCCGGGGGGGGAACUCAAAGGAGACUGCCAGUGAUAAACUGGGGAANNGGGAAGGUGGGGAUGACGUCAAGUCAUCAUGGCCCUUACGACCAGGGCUACAAANCCAAACACCCGUGGGCUACAAUGGCGGGCAAUACAAAGAGAAGCGACCUCGCGAGAGCAAGCGGACCUCAUAAAGUGCGUCGUAGUCCGGAUUGGAGUCUGCAACUCGACUCCAUGAAGUCGGAAUCGCUAGUAAUCGUGGAUCAGAAUGCCACGGUGAAUACGUUCCCGGGCCUUGUACACACCGCCCGUCACACCAUGGGAGUGGGUUGCAAAAGAAGUAGGUAGCUUAACCUUCGGGAGGGCGCUUACCACUUUGUGAUUCAUGACUGGGGGAAGUCGUAACAAGUAAC